CCUGUCCACACAGGUCGGGAUGUGAUCCCCAGCCGUCGGGGCUCGAGGAUUGAACCAGCAA
Molecule: non-coding RNA, 61 nt
Filed under: unclassified sequences
Description: eL15-Euryarchaeota ribosomal protein leader
Rfam family: eL15-Euryarchaeota ribosomal protein leader
Source: RNAcentral